Molecule: ribosomal RNA, 1547 nt
Filed under: Escherichia coli
Lineage: Bacteria; Pseudomonadati; Pseudomonadota; Gammaproteobacteria; Enterobacterales; Enterobacteriaceae
Description: partial 23S ribosomal RNA
Rfam family: Bacterial large subunit ribosomal RNA
Source: RNAcentral
AUAAUGGGUCAGCGACUUAUAUUCUGUAGCAAGGUUAACCGAAUAGGGGAGCCGAAGGGAAACCGAGUCUUAACUGGGCGUUAAGUUGCAGGGUAUAGACCCGAAACCCGGUGAUCUAGCCAUGGGCAGGUUGAAGGUUGGGUAACACUAACUGGAGGACCGAACCGACUAAUGUUGAAAAAUUAGCGGAUGACUUGUGGCUGGGGGUGAAAGGCCAAUCAAACCGGGAGAUAGCUGGUUCUCCCCGAAAGCUAUUUAGGUAGCGCCUCGUGAAUUCAUCUCCGGGGGUAGAGCACUGUUUCGGCAAGGGGGUCAUCCCGACUUACCAACCCGAUGCAAACUGCGAAUACCGGAGAAUGUUAUCACGGGAGACACACGGCGGGUGCUAACGUCCGUCGUGAAGAGGGAAACAACCCAGACCGCCAGCUAAGGUCCCAAAGUCAUGGUUAAGUGGGAAACGAUGUGGGAAGGCCCAGACAGCCAGGAUGUUGGCUUAGAAGCAGCCAUCAUUUAAAGAAAGCGUAAUAGCUCACUGGUCGAGUCGGCCUGCGCGGAAGAUGUAACGGGGCUAAACCAUGCACCGAAGCUGCGGCAGCGACACUGUGUGUUGUUGGGUAGGGGAGCGUUCUGUAAGCCUGCGAAGGUGUGCUGUGAGGCAUGCUGGAGGUAUCAGAAGUGCGAAUGCUGACAUAAGUAACGAUAAAGCGGGUGAAAAGCCCGCUCGCCGGAAGACCAAGGGUUCCUGUCCAACGUUAAUCGGGGCAGGGUGAGUCGACCCCUAAGGCGAGGCCGAAAGGCGUAGUCGAUGGGAAACAGGUUAAUAUUCCUGUACUUGGUGUUACUGCGAAGGGGGGACGGAGAAGGCUAUGUUGGCCGGGCGACGGUUGUCCCGGUUUAAGCGUGUAGGCUGGUUUUCCAGGCAAAUCCGGAAAAUCAAGGCUGAGGCGUGAUGACGAGGCACUACGGUGCUGAAGCAACAAAUGCCCUGCUUCCAGGAAAAGCCUCUAAGCAUCAGGUAACAUCAAAUCGUACCCCAAACCGACACAGGUGGUCAGGUAGAGAAUACCAAGGCGCUUGAGAGAACUCGGGUGAAGGAACUAGGCAAAAUGGUGCCGUAACUUCGGGAGAAGGCACGCUGAUAUGUAGGUGAAGUCCCUCGCGGAUGGAGCUGAAAUCAGUCGAAGAUACCAGCUGGCUGCAACUGUUUAUUAAAAACACAGCACUGUGCAAACACGAAAGUGGACGUAUACGGUGUGACGCCUGCCCGGUGCCGGAAGGUUAAUUGAUGGGGUCAGCGCAAGCGAAGCUCUUGAUCGAAGCCCCGGUAAACGGCGGCCGUAACUAUAACGGUCCUAAGGUAGCGAAAUUCCUUGUCGGGUAAGUUCCGACCUGCACGAAUGGCGUAAUGAUGGCCAGGCUGUCUCCACCCGAGACUCAGUGAAAUUGAACUCGCUGUGAAGAUGCAGUGUACCCGCGGCAAGACGGAAAGACCCCGUGAACCUUUACUAUAGCUUGACACUGAACAUUGAGCCUUGAUGUGUAGGAUA